GGGAGUAAAAAAACAACAACCCUCAACACUCAACAACUUAUUAAAAAUCUCCAAAUAAGAAACCACAUUCAGUGAGGCAUUUUGCAGCGCGCAGGUGAGAUUGACGAAGCAACAAACUUCAAGCAGAAGCAGUCAGCCACAUAAGAAGCGGAUUUGCAACUUUAACCGUACCAAGACAGACAAGCAAGCAAGCAGCGCUUGCAGUUCAAAUCACUUAUCCUUCCCACCAUGCUGAGAGGGACCCAUGUGACUGCAAGCCGGACCUCUGGCCACUCCAGAGGCGUGGCUCCCCCUGCUAUAUCGGCAGGGAGCAACGCAACGAGGGGGUCAUUUAGAAGUUAAUCCUCUUCUUGUCCUCCUUUGUUCUCACUUUUUCAGGGGAUUGCUGGAGAAAGGAGUCCUGGUCGGUCCUCAGCGCCCGUUUGCAGAUUUUGUUAGUCAAGUUUCCCCUCUACACUCAUAAACGUUUCCUUUUCUGGGACAAAAUGCUCCCACCCGACCCGCCGAAUUCGGUUAUCAGAACAAGUUGUAUGGACCAGGCUCUUGUUACUAUUUUAUUUGGAGGGCAGGGAAGCAACAUCACAAAACAGGCACCCAAAAUGAUCUGAUUACAAUUCCGCUAAGGCGGCGGUCCGAUACACACACUUAACUUGGAAGUAAAUCUCAUUGAACUGAACAGGACCUCACUUACUUCUGAACAGAUAGGGCGGGAUUUGCCUUACGGUAUUGGACUGCAAUCCAGCUGCACACGGUAUAGGGACUUCGGAGGCAACAUGCAUCUUCAGAUUCGACUGCAUGUUCAUUCGUGAAGCAUGAUGAAGACGAUCCGGACCCAGAGAUAGUAUGCAUGCAUGAUUCCCUGUGUGCACUCCUAUUUCCUACUCAGAAAUAAGCCCCGUUCUCUUUGAUGGGGUUUGCUCAUGAUUGCCAACUCUUCAGGAUUGGUCUUGAAUCUCAGGGAAUCAGCAUCACUCUCCAAGUGACUUUUGAAAAGAGCCCUGCUGGAUCAGGCCCAAGGCCCAUCUAGCCAAGCAUCCAGUUUCACACAGUGGCCCACCAGAUGCCUUUAGGAAGCCCACAGGCAGGAGCUGAGGGCAUACUCCCCCCACCCCUGCUCUUGCUGUUGCAACCCUGCAACUGGUAUUCAGAGGGGUCUUGUCUCUGAAGCUGGAGGUGGCCUACAAUAGCCCUCAGACUAGCAGCCAUUGAUAGAGCUGUCCUCUAUGAAUUUAUCUAAACCCCUCUUAAAGCCACCCAGGCUGGUGGCUGUCACCACAUAUUGUGGCAGAGAAUGCCAUAGUUUAAUUAGGCAUUGUGUGAAAAAAUACUUCCUUUUUUCAGUCCUAAAUCUCUUGGCAAUCAGUUUCAUGGGAUUACUCCUGGUUCUAGUGUUAUGCAAGAAGGAGAAAAAUUUCUGUCAACUUUUCCCACACCAUGAAUGAUUUUAUAGACCUAAAACUCAACCAGUUACCAAUCCACACACAAACCUAUCCCCUUAUCUCAUGACUGCUAAAUUUUCUUAAGUGUUUUUGAUGACGAACUUUGUCAAAAGCUUUUUGAAAGUCCAGGUAUACUAUGUCAACGGGAUUAUCUUUAUCCAGCCACCUGUAGACACUCUCAAAGAACUCCAAAAGGUUGGUGAUGCAAGAUUUACCUUUGCGGAAGCCAUGGCGGUUCUCCUUCAACAGGGAGAUUUUAUGAAAAUCGAUGUUACAUUUACUUUCAAGUCCUCCAGUACAGUGCCUGAUUGUAGGAAUCUAUUAUAUUAAUCCUUGUAGACGUGCCUGUGGGGAUGCAUCCCGGCAACCCAGUGGAUUGGCUGGGUGGCAGAGGCUCACAGGAGGCUGCCAAGGAGGCGGCUGCGGGCCCGGCCACUUCAAGGAGUGCGGCAGCAGCAGGAGGGAACGGGCAGGGGGGCGGCAACAUGUAGAUAGAGAUUAAAUAAUCUCUAUUUAAAAAUUUUAAAACCUCUAUAAAACAAUAAUACAUAAAACACAGAGCAGCAGCAGUAAAAACUAAUCUCAUUUUAAAGCCUGGGUGAAGAGCCACGUCUUUACUUGUUUUCUAAAAACUGGUGGAAGCUGGGGAGCAGAUGCCAGCCAGGAGAGCAUCCCAAAGCCUGGGGGCAAUGGGUGAGAUGGCCCUGUCCUGCGUGCUCGACAGCCAAGCCUCUUUCACCAUUGGUGCAUGGAGCAGAAUCCCCUCUGAUGAUCUUGUCCAAGGGGCUGAAACCCUUGGGAGCAGGCAGUCCUUCAGAUGUCCAGCGUUGGUUGAAGAGCGUUCUAUAAAUAUUGGUUGGCUUUGUAGUAUUCAGGAAACAUUUUGGAGCCAUUAGUUUAAGCAGCGCACAUGACAUAUAUUGAAUUGUACUUGUAUGAUCUGUUUCGUCAUUUAAUUGCACUACUAUUUUAUGUUUAUUUAUUAAUUAAAGUCUUCAAUCUUUAA
Hemicordylus capensis (graceful crag lizard) is the source of this 2445-nucleotide long non-coding RNA. RefSeq lists it as uncharacterized. NCBI's taxonomy places the organism in Eukaryota, Metazoa, Chordata, Lepidosauria, Squamata, Cordylidae. The record is from RefSeq and is a predicted model, not a curated record. The transcript has 2 exons.